This 484-nucleotide ribosomal RNA is filed under the name uncultured bacterium. Its description in RNAcentral is "partial 16S ribosomal RNA". It matches the Rfam family "Bacterial small subunit ribosomal RNA", at positions 30 to 507 of the family's 1533-position model. The record is from RNAcentral.
AUUGAACGCUAGCGGGAUGCUUUACACAUGUAAGUCGAACGGCAGCGCGGACUUCGGUCUGGCGGCGAGUGGCGAACGGGUGAGUAAUGUAUCGGAACGUGCCCAGUAGCGGGGGAUAACUACGCGAAAGCGUAGCUAAUACCGCAUACGCCCUACGGGGGAAAGCAGGGGAUCGUAAGACCUUGCACUAUUGGAGCGGCCGAUAUCGGAUUAGCUAGUUGGUGAGGUAACGGCUCACCAAGGCGACGAUCCGUAGCUGGUUUGAGAGGACGACCAGCCACACUGGGACUGAGACACGGCCCAGACUCCUACGGGAGGCAGCAGUGGGGAAUUUUGGACAAUGGGGGCAACCCUGAUCCAGCCAUCCCGCGUGUGCGAUGAAGGCCUUCGGGUUGUAAAGCACUUUUGGCAGGAAAGAAACGUCGCGGGCUAAUACCCCGUGGAACUGACGGUACCUGCAGAAUAAGCACCGGCUAACUACGUG